RNAcentral lists this unclassified non-coding RNA (501 nucleotides) under Patiria miniata (bat star). RNAcentral's name for it is "centromere/kinetochore protein zw10 homolog, transcript variant X1". The record is from RNAcentral. Lineage: Eukaryota; Metazoa; Echinodermata; Asteroidea; Valvatida; Asterinidae.
GGGCGCUGUACCGGCGGCAGAUCCAAGAAUCAAGAUGACGUCCCAUGUCACCGAUGUUCUGCUCGCAAACACGGAUCUGUUGGAAAAUGAAGACCUGAGGACGCGCAUCGGCAAAUUAUCAACUCACAUUGAUGAGAUCAAGGGUGAAAUCUACCACGCCGUACACGAGAAGUAUGCCAACUACAGACCCACCAGGGACUCCACCCAGGAGCUACACAACAAGGUGCAGACACUGUCCACUGAGAUGCAGACUCUCAGCAAUAAGAUCAAGGUUAAACAACAUGGUGACUCCACUGUGGAACCAGCCGUAUGAGGACCAGCUAUCCACCAAACAGACCAACACCAGGGAGUUUCUGAGGAAUUUAUCCAAGAUGCUGCAAUGGAACAUUGGGGAGAUGUCUCCCUGGCUGAAGCAACAAAGCCAGUAUUAGAGAGUUAUCGCAACAAGUGUGAGUUUACCAUCGGAAAGAGUGUCUAUGGCAUCGAUAACACUGCUGGUUU